This 63-nucleotide transfer RNA is filed under the name Eucryptotermes sp. n. nr. breviceps. RNAcentral describes it as "tRNA-Thr". Lineage: Eukaryota; Metazoa; Arthropoda; Insecta; Blattodea; Kalotermitidae. The record is from RNAcentral.
GUUUUAGUAAUUUAACCAAAAUAUUGGUCUUGUAAACCAGAAAUAAGUAUAACUUCUAAAACU